AGGGUGCAGGGCGGAUGCCUUGGCACUAGGAGCCGAUGAAGGACGUGAUAAGCUGCGAUAAGCUUCGGGGAGUUGCACGUAAACUUUGAUCCGAAGAUUUCCGAAUGAGGAAACUCACUUAGAGUAAUGUCUAAGUAUCAUUAAGUGAAUACAUAGCUUAAUGAGGGGAACUCAGGGAACUGAAACAUCUAAGUACCUGAAGGAAGAGAAAGAAAUUCGAUUCCGUAAGUAGCGGCGAGCGAACGCGGAUUAGCCCAAACCAAUAAAGUUUUCUUUAUUGGGGUUGCGGACAUAUCAUAACGAAGAGGUAUCGUAAUUGAAGAGGUUUGGAAAGACCCACCACAGAAGGUAAUAGUCCUGUAUGUUAAACGAGAAGACUUCAGAUAUGAUCCAGAGUACCACGGGACACGUGAAACCCUGUGGGAAGCAGGAGGGACCACCCUCCAAGGCUAAAUACUACCUAGUGACCGAUAGCGUAUAGUACCGUGAGGGAAAGGUGAAAAGAACCCCGGGAGGGGAGUGAAAUAGAACCUGAAACCCUGCACUUACAAGCUGUGGAAGCACAUUUCUUGUGUGACCGCGUACUUUUUGUAGAACGGGCCAACGAGUUACGUUAAGUAGCAAGGUUAAGCACUUAAGGUGCGGAGCCGUAGCGAAAGCGAGUUUUAACUGAGCGUUCAGUUACUUGACGUAGACCCGAAACCGGGCGACCUACCCAUGAGCAGGAUGAAGCGAAAGUAAAAUUUCGUGGAGGUCCGAACCCACGAGCGUUGAAAAGCUCGGGGAUGACUUGUGGGUAGCGGUGAAAUUCCAAUCGAGCCCGGAGAUAGCUGGUUCUCCCCGAAAUAGCUUUAGGGCUAGCCUCAAGGUGAGAGAUACGGAGGUAGAGCACUGAAUGUCCUAGGGGGUAUUGCACCUACCGAAGACUAUCAAACUCCGAAUGCCGUCAUCUUAUACUUGGGAGUCAGACUGUGGGUGAUAAGAUUCAUAGUCGAAAGGGCAACAGCCCAGAUCGUCAGCUAAGGUCCCUAAAUGUAAGUUAAGUGGUAAAGGAUGUGGGAUUGCACAGACAACCAGGAUGUUGGCUUAGAAGCAGCCACUCAUUCAAAGAGUGCGUAAUAGCUCACUGGUCGAGUGAUCCUGCGCCGAAGAUUUCCGGGGCUAAAACUUACUACCGAAGCUACGGCAUCAGUAAUGAUGGGUAGGGGAGCUUCCCAUACGGGUUGAAGCAUGACCGUAAGGACAUGUGGACAGUAUGGGAGUGAGAAUGUUGGCAUGAGUAGCGAGAUGUGGGUGAGAAUCCCACAGGCCGUAAACCCAAGGUUUCCAGGGGAAGGUUCGUCCGCCCUGGGUUAGUCGGGACCUAAGCUGAGGCCGAAAGGCGUAGGUGAUGGACAACAGGUUGAUAUUCCUGUACUACCGAUAACCGUUUGAGAGAAGGGAUGACACAGUAGGAUAAGCUAAGCACACUGUUGGUUAUGUGUGCCCAAGCAUUGAGGCAGUCAAAGCAGGCAAAUCCGCUUUGAUAAUGCUGGGAUGUGAUGGGGAGCGAAAUUUAGUAGCGAAGUAGCUGAUUUCACACUGUCAAGAAAAGUCUCUAUCGAGGUUAAAGGUACCCGUACCGCAAACCGACACAGGUGGGUGAGGAGAGUAUCCUAAGGCCAGCGAGAGAACUGUUGUUAAGGAACUCGGCAAAAUGACCCCGUAACUUAGGGAUAAGGGGUGCCACCAUCCGGUGGCCGCAGAGAAUAGGCCCAAGCGACUGUUUACCAAAAACAUAGGUUUCUGCUAAGUCGCAAGACGAUGUAUAGGAGCUGACGCCUGCCCGGUGCUGGAAGGUUAAGGGGAUCUGUUAGAGCAAUCGAAGCAGUGAACUUAAGCCCCAGUAAACGGCGGCCGUAACUAUAACGGUCCUAAGGUAGCGAAAUUCCUUGUCGGGUAAGUUCCGACCCGCACGAAAGGCGUAACGAUUUGGGCACUGUCUCAACAACAGACUCGGUGAAAUUGUAAUUCCGGUGAAGAUGCCGGAUACCUGCGACAGGACGGAAAGACCCCAUGGAGCUUUACUGUAGCUUGACAUUGGGUCUUGGUACUACAUGUACAGGAUAGGUGGGAGGCUUUGAAACCAGGACGCCAGUUUUGGCGGAGCCAUCCUUGGGAUACCACCCUUGUAGUACUGGGACUCUAACCAUAGGCCAUGAAUCUGGUCUUGGGACACUGUCAGGUGGGCAGUUUGACUGGGGCGGUCGCCUCCCAAAAGGUAACGGAGGCGCUCAAAGGUUCUCU
Molecule: ribosomal RNA, 2286 nt
Filed under: Clostridioides difficile
Lineage: Bacteria; Bacillati; Bacillota; Clostridia; Peptostreptococcales; Peptostreptococcaceae
Description: bacterial LSU rRNA
Rfam family: Bacterial large subunit ribosomal RNA
Source: RNAcentral